RNAcentral lists this small RNA (1139 nucleotides) under Pan troglodytes (chimpanzee). Its description in RNAcentral is "sense overlapping". Lineage: Eukaryota; Metazoa; Chordata; Mammalia; Primates; Hominidae. The record is from RNAcentral.
AAUGAGAGAUUUUCUUUGGAGAAAGCUUUCAAGUGCCAGGCAUUUCUCCCCAUCAUGUGCCCCCCUAGUGGAGGAGGGGAGAGAGGGUGCUCUACUGGGAGCACUUCACAAACUCUUCUGGAAUGUAACUCGUGUGGCACAGAGGGUGAUGCCAGGCUCUGGGGAAGUGUCAAGUCAGGAGAUGCUAGCUAGCUGGCUGUGCUGAUGGCAGAAUAGGGAGAAGUGACUGCUGUCAGAAAUGGCCUAUUCCCUCAAGGUUUGUGGAGGCCAAGAAUGUGGACGUGUUCCCAGCAGGCCAGGAUCAAGACAGCCUAUAGCUAUCUUAAGAGCAACUGGGCUUUUGAAGCAGUCUAUGUGGGAUGGACUGACAGAAACCAGAGUCAACCAGGAGCUGGUGGAGAUGGCUCUCAAGAGAGAAUCAGCGACAGGUCUCCAAAUAAUCUGUAAGGGACUAGUUUGAAAGGUAGCUUAAAUGUCAGGGUCUAAGGAGACCAACGCCCAGUUUUUCUAAGUUCCAGGCAAGUGAGACCUUUUCUGCCCCCACCUCACUGCAACCCCAGUGAAGCCAGUGCAGCCAGGGGGUGAAGAAGGAGUGGACUAGGUAAAGAUGUAGAGAUGAAUCUGACCACAGAUCCUUUAUACCCUGGACCACAAAAGGGAGGAGAACUUGAACAGAAAAUGCAGUUAGGGGUUUGGAUUACUGCUUUGUGACUAAUAAAUAGGACUAGACACUUUCAUCCCCACAUAUAAGACAGUCAGCUCACAGAGAAAAAUGACAAGGUGGGUCUGCAAACAACGGAAGCACUGGCACACCAAAACUUGAUCUACAGAGCCAUCUGAAACUAUAAACAAAUAUGCUGAUGAAUAUUAAGAAGAUGAAAGAAAGAAACCAAAGGUUUAAAACUAUGAUGCUGAAAACAAUGAAAUGUCUCUAGGUAAUUAAACAGUAUGGCAGGUAAUCUAAUUUAAAACUAAAACCCAGCUCAAACUAAGAAAACAUAUUCCCACCCUCUGCUUGAUUUGCUUUCUUUCAAGGGCCUUUAAAGCAAAACACUAACCAUGAAGAGUUUUACUUUUCCCAGGAAAUGAAAUAUUUUCUAACACAGAACAGCAAAUAAAAUACUUUUUCUAACACAAAA